UACGGAGGGUGCGAGCGUUAUCCGGAAUUACUGGGUUUAAAGGGUGCGUAGGCGGCCAUGUAAGUCAGGCGUGAAAGUUUGCGGCUCAACCGUAAAAUUGCUUUUGAUACUGCAUGGCUGGAAUCAGGAUGAGGUCAGCGGAAUGUGGCAUGUAGCGGUGAAAUGCAUAGAUAUGCCAUAGAACACCAAUUGCGAAGGCAGCUGGCUAGACCUGUAUUGACGCUGAGGCACGAAAGCGUGGGGAGCGAACAGG
This 253-nucleotide ribosomal RNA is filed under the name uncultured bacterium. RNAcentral describes it as "partial 16S ribosomal RNA". It matches the Rfam family "Bacterial small subunit ribosomal RNA", at positions 524 to 776 of the family's 1533-position model. The record is from RNAcentral.